This 1330-nucleotide ribosomal RNA is filed under the name Myxia delta. RNAcentral describes it as "SSU rRNA". Lineage: Eukaryota; Metazoa; Arthropoda; Insecta; Hemiptera; Cixiidae. The record is from RNAcentral.
GGAGCCUGAGAAACGGCUACCACAUCCAAGGAAGGCAGCAGGCGCGCAAAUUACCCACUCCCGGCACGGGGAGGUAGUGACGAAAAAUAACGAUACGGGACUCAUCCGAGGCCCCGUAAUCGGAAUGAGUAUACUCUAAAUCCUUAUACGAGUAUCCAUUGGAGGGCAAGUCUGGUGCCAGCAGCCGCGGUAAUUCCAGCUCCAAUAGCGUAUAUUAAAGUUGUUGCGGUUAAAAAGCUCGUAGUUGGAUCUGUGUCCCGCACCGCCGGUUCACCGCCUGUCGGUGUCAAACUGGCGUGUAUGCGGGACGUCCUGUCGGUGGCGGUCCGGGGCUUCGUCGGCCUUAGGUGUUCCGAUUUUUCGCGAUACUCCGAAGGCUGGCGUAUGUUUCCGGCCGCCUUGUCAAUCCCGCCGCGGUGCUCUUCACCGAGUGUCGAGGCGGGCCGGCACGUUUACUUUGAACAAAUUAGAGUGCUUUAAGCAGGCUCAUUUCAGCCUGCAUACUGUGUGCAUGGAAUAAUGGAAUAGGACCUCGGUUCUAUUUUGUUGGUUUUCGGAAUCUGAGGUAAUGAUCAAUGGGGACAGGCGGGGGCAUUCGUAUUGCGACGUUAGAGGUGAAAUUCUUGGAUCKUCGCAAGACGGACCGAAGCGAAAGCAUUUUGCCAAGUAUGUUCUCGUCGAUCAAGAACGAAAGUUAGAGGUUCGAAGGCGAUCAGAUACCGCCCUAGUUCUAACCAUAAACCAUGCCUGCCAGCGAUCCGCCGGUGUUCCUCCGAUGACCCGGCGGGCAGCUUCCGGGAAACCAGAGCUUUUGGGUUCCGGGGGAAGUAUGGUUGCAAAGCUGAAACUUAAAGGAAUUGACGGAAGGGCACCACCAGGAGUGGAGCCUGCGGCUUAAUUUGACUCAACACGGGAAAACUCACCAGGCCCGGACACCGGAAGGAUUGACAGAUUGAGAGCUCUUUCUUGAUUCGGUGGGUGGUGGUGCAUGGCCGUUCUUAGUUGGUGGAGCGAUUUGUCUGGUUAAUUCCGAUAACGAACGAGACUCUAGCCUACUAACUAGACGUAUCUGGUAUCCACAAUCGUGCUACCGGCGAUUAAAUUGCUUCUUAGAGGGACAGGCGGCUGUAGCCGCACGAGACUGAGCAAUAACAGGUCUGUGAUGCCCUUAGAUGUCCUGGGCCGCACGCGCGCUACACUGAAGGAGUCAGCGUGUCUUCCCUGUCCGAAAGGACCGGGUAACCCGCUGAACCUCUUUCGUGCUAGGGAUUGGGGCUUGCAACUGUUCCCCAUGAACGAGGAAUUCCCAGUAAGCGCGAGUCAUAAGCUC